UCGCUACUACCGAUUGAAUGGCUUAGUGAGCCCCAGGGACUGUUGAACCCUGUUGGAAACUUCGGGGAUCAUACGGGAAGGACGUCAAACUUGAUCAUUUAGAGGAAGUAA
This 111-nucleotide ribosomal RNA is filed under the name uncultured eukaryote. Its description in RNAcentral is "partial small subunit ribosomal RNA". The record is from RNAcentral.